Populus nigra (black poplar) is the source of this 904-nucleotide long non-coding RNA. RefSeq lists it as uncharacterized. NCBI's taxonomy places the organism in Eukaryota, Viridiplantae, Streptophyta, Magnoliopsida, Malpighiales, Salicaceae. The transcript is spliced from 2 exons. The record is from RefSeq and is a predicted model, not a curated record.
UUUCAACUCUCAAGACUUGUCUAAAAAUAAAAUUAAAAGUGACCUGCGUCUGCAUUCAACUCUCAUUCUCGCAACUUUGUUAAUUUGUAAUUGAUUUUUUUUUUCGAGGAGAGAGGACUUGAUUAAGUUGUAUAAAGGGAAUGAUAAUACUGUAAAUUGCCAAAAUCACUACUAAGUACAAACAAAAUAUUCUAUGCAUGUGUGACAACACUUAUCUGCAUUUGUUUCAAGGGCGACCCCACCUCAGCUAUUCAAUCAAAGCACUGAAAUCGGAGCAAGAAGAUCCACCUUCUUAAACAGCAGUCCUGGUCGUUUCUUCUAGCUUCUUUGUUCUGCUCCUCAUUUCCUCUGCUUCUCUACGGCUUCACUUUUAACAUGAUCUCCAUGCACUGCAAGCCAUUCCUUCACUCGAACACCAACUCCAGUUUUUAAAACAUCAGUCACCAACUUUUCAUUAUAGAAUUGCUCAGCAAAACGGCAGUCACCAUCCUCAAUGAGUCACAAAUGCACCUAUUGCUUCAUGAUCAAGAAUCAAAACUUGGAGUGCCCAUCCUCUAAAAAUUAGGCCUUUGCCUUCCAUUCUUCCCUCAAAUCCUUCAGAUUCAUGGAUCACUUUAUGCAAAGCAGAGGAAUGAUUUUCUGGAAAAAGAGUGUCUUGGGAACUUACAGUAGAUUUCGUUGGAACUCUUCUCUCAGGACGUAGCAUAGCUUCUUGAAUCUCUGUUUCUAAUCGGAACAGGGUAGCAACGAGAAGCUUGGUGUGGUCGCAGAAUGUCUUUCUUUUGUUCAUGAGGCUGCCUGUCGAAACGCUGAAGAUUUGCCAGCAACUUGUAGGAAUCAAAUCAAAGCCCCUUUUAAAAAUUUAAUGACCAAAAGGAAGAAAAUCAAAAAAAUCUGCCUUGUG